CGCGUAAAGAACUUGCCUCACAGAUAGGGACAACAUUUGGAAACGAAUGCUAAUACCUGAUAUUAUGAUUUUAGGGCAUCCUAGAAUUAUGAAAGCUAUAUGCGCUGUGAGAGAGCUUUGCGUCCCAUUAGCUAGUUGGAGAGGCAACGGCUCACCAAGGCGAUGAUGGGUAGCCGGCCUGAGAGGGUGAUCGGCCACAAGGGGACUGAGACACGGCCCUU
RNAcentral lists this ribosomal RNA (221 nucleotides) under uncultured Fusobacteriaceae bacterium. Its description in RNAcentral is "partial 16S ribosomal RNA". It matches the Rfam family "Bacterial small subunit ribosomal RNA", at positions 114 to 334 of the family's 1533-position model. Lineage: Bacteria; Fusobacteriati; Fusobacteriota; Fusobacteriia; Fusobacteriales; Fusobacteriaceae. The record is from RNAcentral.